UACGAGGGGGGCGAGCGUUGUUCGGAAUUAUUGGGCGUAAAGGGUGCGUAGGCGGUUUGGUAAGUCUGAUGUGAAAUCUAUGGGCUCAACUCAUAGUCUGCAUCGGAAACUGCCGGGCUUGAGUGUGGGGGAGGUGAGUGGAAUUCCUGGUGUAGCGGUGAAAUGCGUAGAUAUCAGGAGGAACACCGAUGGCGAAGGCAGGUCUCUGGGCCACUACUGACGCUGAGAAGCGAAAGCGUGGGGAGCGAACAGG
Molecule: ribosomal RNA, 253 nt
Filed under: uncultured bacterium
Lineage: Bacteria
Description: partial 16S ribosomal RNA
Rfam family: Bacterial small subunit ribosomal RNA
Source: RNAcentral